This 497-nucleotide ribosomal RNA is filed under the name uncultured bacterium. RNAcentral describes it as "partial 16S ribosomal RNA". It matches the Rfam family "Bacterial small subunit ribosomal RNA", at positions 28 to 507 of the family's 1533-position model. The record is from RNAcentral.
GAUGAACGCUGGCGGCGUGCCUAAUACAUGCAAGUCGAGCGAACGGACGAGAAGCUUGCUUCUCUGAUGUUAGCGGCGGACGGGUGAGUAACACGUGGAUAACCUACCUAUAAGACUGGGAUAACUUCGGGAAACCGUAGCUAAUACCGGAUAAGAUUUUGAACCGCAUGGUUCAAAAGUGAAAGACGGUCUUGCUGUCACUUAUAGAUGGAUCCGCGCUGCAUUAGCUAGUUGGUAAGGUAACGGCUUACCAAGGCAACGAUGCAUAGCCGACCUGAGAGGGUGAUCGGCCACACUGGAACUGAGACACGGUCCAGACUCCUACGGGAGGCAGCAGUAGGGAAUCUUCCGCAAUGGGCGAAAGCCUGACGGAGCAACGCCGCGUGAGUGAUGAAGGUCUUCGGAUCGUAAAACUCUGUUAUUAGGGAAGAACAUAUGUGUAAGUAACUGUGCACAUCUUGACGGUACCUAAUCAGAAAGCCACGGCUAACUACGUG